AGCUUUGCAAAGUGGCAGUAUCGUAGCCAAUGAGGUUUAUCCAAGGCAUGAUUAUUGCUAAUUAAAGUGUUGGUGUGAAAGAGCACUGUACUCUGAGAGAAACACUGCAUUUGUGCAAGCUAGACUAG
Molecule: small nuclear RNA, 128 nt
Organism: Camelus dromedarius (Arabian camel)
Lineage: Eukaryota; Metazoa; Chordata; Mammalia; Artiodactyla; Camelidae
Gene: U4
Rfam family: U4 spliceosomal RNA
About the family: U4 small nuclear RNA (U4 snRNA) is a component of the major U2-dependent spliceosome. The structure of U4 snRNA from yeast and human has been reported. U4 snRNA presents a k-turn RNA motif in the 5p-SL related to recognition of Snu13 protein.
Source: Ensembl